UGACUAAAGAGCAACAUUUUCUUCUCCCACUGCACGCCAUCCUCUAUAUAUAAAGAAAAUCUCUCUCGUUUCUUCUACUAUCCAUUUCUCUUUCUCUCUGAAAAGUGGGAUGCUUCAAUAACUUCUACACUCUAAUUGGAAGAGAAAAUGUCAGUUUCUUCAUUUAUUGGAGUUUUGGUAAUCUUUGCUCUGGUCUUUGUUUUUGUUUCGCCUACUUUGCCUUUGUAUCGGCCGACUCCUCUUCCUGCUGUCAUCAAUAGUCAACCAUGUGAAAGUUUAAGCAAAACUUGGCACGGGAGAUGUAGGAGCACAAGAAACUGUGAUAGGCAUUGCAGGAAUCAGGAGAAGGCAGAUAAUGGGGCAUGUCAGGGGUUUUGGCAUAAAAAAUGCUAUUGCUAUACAUCGGAAAUGUGCCUGAAUACAAGACGAUGAAAACGCAUCGAAAGGUGUAAAAAGACUCCUUUAACAGUAGUUGUUGCAACUGAUGUUAGAGAAUAUACUCUCCGUAUACCGGGGAUUUGGUUUGAGAAAUAUAUUGUAAUUAUAAUCAAUCAAAUCUAAUUGAUUUGAUUGAUUUAUUUGUAGCAGAUUUGAUGGUAAUUAAUCAAAUCAAAUUGAUUGAUUAUCAUACUUAUCUACCCAAACUCUGCUAUAAAUAAGAGUUUAUUGUAUUGUGAAAUAAGAGUAAAAUGUAGCUUUUGGGGCUU
Alnus glutinosa is the source of this 707-nucleotide long non-coding RNA. RefSeq lists it as uncharacterized. The transcript is spliced from 2 exons. The record is from RefSeq and is a predicted model, not a curated record. NCBI's taxonomy places the organism in Eukaryota, Viridiplantae, Streptophyta, Magnoliopsida, Fagales, Betulaceae.